CUGGGCUAGAAUGCCUCUGACAACCCUAGAGAUAGGGCCUUCUUGGUAAAACCAGACAGAGCGCAAGGUGCUGCAUGGCUGUCGUCAGCUCGUGUCGUGAGAUGUUGCGUUAAGUCGCGCAACGAGCGCAACCCCUGUCCUUAGUUGCCCCCGGGUCAAGCCGUGGCACUCUAAGGAGACUGCCGGCGUUAAGCCGGAGGAAGGUGGGGAUGACGUCAAGUCCUCAUGGCCUUUAUGUCCAGGGCUACACACGUGCUACAAUGGCAGGUACAAACCGCAGCAAACUCGCAAGAGGGAGCCAAUCGGAAAAAGCCUGUCUCAGUUCGGAUCGCACUCUGCAACUCGAGUGCAUGAAGUUGGAAUCGCUAGUAAUCGCGGAUCAGCAUGCCGCGGUGAAUACGUUCCC
RNAcentral lists this ribosomal RNA (406 nucleotides) under uncultured bacterium. RNAcentral's name for it is "bacterial SSU rRNA". It matches the Rfam family "Bacterial small subunit ribosomal RNA", at positions 975 to 1375 of the family's 1533-position model. The record is from RNAcentral.